Molecule: unclassified non-coding RNA, 329 nt
Filed under: soil metagenome
Description: partial contains 5.8S ribosomal RNA, internal transcribed spacer 2, and large subunit ribosomal RNA
Rfam family: 5.8S ribosomal RNA (bases 1-120)
Source: RNAcentral
GAUGAAGAACGCAGCGAAAUGCGAUAAGUAAUGUGAAUUGCAGAAUUCAGUGAAUCAUCGAAUCUUUGAACGCACAUUGCGCCCCUUGGUAUUCCGAGGGGCAUGCCUGUUCGAGCGUCAUUAUAACCCCUCAAGCUCAGCUUGGUGUUGGGGCCUGCUGCACUGGCAGCCCUUAAAAUCAGUGGCGGCGCCAUCUGGCUCUAAGCGUAGUAAUUCUUCUCGUUAUGGAGUCCUGGUGGAUGCUUGCCAUCAACCCCCAAUUUUUCUAUGGUUGACCUCGGAUCAGGUAGGGAUACCCGCUGAACUUAAGCAUAUCAAUAAGCGGAGGA